CCUACGGGAGGCAGCAGUGAGGAAUAUUGGUCAAUGGACGAGAGUCUGAACCAGCCAAGUAGCGUGAAGGAUGACUGCCCUAUGGGUUGUAAACUUCUUUUAUAUGGGAAUAAAAUGUUCCACGUGUGGGAUUUUGUAUGUACCAUAUGAAUAAGGAUCGGCUAAAUCCGUGCCAGCAGCCGCGGUAAUACGGAGGAGCCGAGCUUUAUCCGGAUUUAUUGGGUUUAAAGGGAGCGUAGGUGGAUUGUUAAGUCAGUUGUGAAAGUUUGCGGCUCAACCGUAAAAUUGCAGUUGAAACUGGCAGUCUUGAGUACAGUAGAGGUGGGCGGAAUUCGUGGUGUAGCGGUGAAAUGCUUAGAUAUCACGAAGAACUCCGAUUGCGAAGGCAGUUCACUGGACUGCAACUGACACUGAGGCUCGAAAGUGUGGGUAUCAAACAGGAUUAGAUACCCGGGUAGUC
Molecule: ribosomal RNA, 460 nt
Filed under: uncultured bacterium
Lineage: Bacteria
Description: partial 16S ribosomal RNA
Rfam family: Bacterial small subunit ribosomal RNA
Source: RNAcentral